This 430-nucleotide ribosomal RNA is filed under the name uncultured bacterium. RNAcentral describes it as "bacterial SSU rRNA". It matches the Rfam family "Bacterial small subunit ribosomal RNA", at positions 81 to 507 of the family's 1533-position model. The record is from RNAcentral.
CAACCCCUCGAGAGUGGCGAACGGGUGAGUAAUGCAUCGGAACGUGCCCAGUCGUGGGGGAUAACGCAGCGAAAGCUGUGCUAAUACCGCAUACGAUCUAUGGAUGAAAGCGGGGGAUCGCAAGACCUCGCGCGAUUGGAGCGGCCGAUGUCAGAUUAGCUAGGUUGGUGGGGUAAAGGCCCACCAAGGCGACGAUCUGUAGCUGGUCUGAGAGGACGACCAGCCACACUGGGACUGAGACACGGUCCAGACUCCUACGGGAGGCAGCAGUGGGGAAUUUUGGACAAUGGACGCAAGUCUGAUCCAGCCAUUCCGCGUGCAGGACGAAGGCCUUCGGGUUGUAAACUGCUUUUGUACAGAACGAAAAGGUCUCUAUUAAUACUGGGGGCUCAUGACGGUACUGUAAGAAUAAGCACCGGCUAACUACGUG